UACGUAGGGUCCGAGCGUUGUCCGGAAUUAUUGGGCGUAAAGGGCUCGUAGGCGGUUUGUCACGUCGGGAGUGAAAACACGGGGCUUAACCCCGUGCCUGCUUCCGAUACGGGCAGACUAGAGGUAUGCAGGGGAGAACGGAAUUCCUGGUGUAGCGGUGAAAUGCGCAGAUAUCAGGAGGAACACCGGUGGCGAAGGCGGUUCUCUGGGCAUUACCUGACGCUGAGGAGCGAAAGUGUGGGGAGCGAGCAGG
RNAcentral lists this ribosomal RNA (253 nucleotides) under uncultured bacterium. RNAcentral's name for it is "partial 16S ribosomal RNA". It matches the Rfam family "Bacterial small subunit ribosomal RNA", at positions 524 to 776 of the family's 1533-position model. The record is from RNAcentral.